UAUUGCACAAUGGAGGAAACUCUGAUGCAGUGACACCGCGUAUAGGAAGAAGGUUUUCGGAUUGUAAACUAUUUUAGACAGGGAAGAAAAAAGACAGUACCUGUAGAAUAAGCUCCGGCUGAAUACGUGCCAGCAGCCGCGGUAAUACGUAUGGAGCAAGCGUUAUCCGGAUUUACUGGGUGUAAAGGGAGCGUAGGCGGCCUGGCAAGUCUGGUGUGAAAUACCGGGGCCCAACCCCGGGACUGCAUUGGAAACUGCCAGGCUGGAGUGUCGGAGGGGCAGGCGGAAUUCCUAGUGUAGCGGUGAAAUGCGUAGAUAUUAGGAGGAACACCGGUGGCGAAGGCGGCCUGCUGGACGACAACUGACGCUGAGGCUCGAAAGCGUGGGGAGCAAACAGG
RNAcentral lists this ribosomal RNA (398 nucleotides) under uncultured bacterium. RNAcentral's name for it is "bacterial SSU rRNA". It matches the Rfam family "Bacterial small subunit ribosomal RNA", at positions 362 to 776 of the family's 1533-position model. The record is from RNAcentral.